AAUGCUCGGCGGGACAGACGGCCCUGUAACAACGGGCCGCCCCCGCCAGAGGACCCCUAACUCUGUUUUUAUAAUGUUUUUCUGAGUAAACAAGCAAAUAAAUUAAAACUUUCAACAACGGAUCUCUUGGCUCUGGCAUCGAUGAAGAACGCAGCGAAAUGCGAUAAGUAAUGUGAAUUGCAGAAUUCAGUGAAUCAUCGAAUCUUUGAACGCACAUUGCGCCCGCCAGUAUUCUGGCGGGCAUGCCUGUUCGAGCGUCAUUACAACCCUCAGGCCCCCGGGCCUGGCGUUGGGGAUCGGCAGAAGCCCCCUGUGGGCACACGCCGUCCCUCAAAUACAGUGGCGGUCCCGCCGCAGCUUCCAUUGCGUAGUAGCUAACACCUCGCAACUGGAGAGCGGCGCGGCCAUGCCGUAAAACACCCCAACUUCUGA
Molecule: small RNA, 432 nt
Filed under: Fusarium solani
Lineage: Eukaryota; Fungi; Ascomycota; Sordariomycetes; Hypocreales; Nectriaceae
Description: eukaryotic LSU rRNA
Rfam family: 5.8S ribosomal RNA (bases 107-260)
Source: RNAcentral